UACGUAGGGUGCAAGCGUUAAUCGGAAUUACUGGGCGUAAAGCGUGCGCAGGCGGCUUUGCAAGACAGAUGUGAAAUCCCCGGGCUCAACCUGGGAACUGCAUUUGUGACUGCAUGGCUGGAGUGCGGGAGAGGGGGAUGGAAUUCCGCGUGUAGCAGUGAAAUGCGUAGAUAUGCGGAGGAACACCGAUGGCGAAGGCAAUCCCCUGGGCCUGCACUGACGCUCAUGCACGAAAGCGUGGGGAGCAAACAGG
RNAcentral lists this ribosomal RNA (253 nucleotides) under uncultured bacterium. RNAcentral's name for it is "partial 16S ribosomal RNA". It matches the Rfam family "Bacterial small subunit ribosomal RNA", at positions 524 to 776 of the family's 1533-position model. The record is from RNAcentral.